CCUACGGGGGGCAGCAGUGGGGAAUAUUGCACAAUGGGCGCAAGCCUGAUGCAGCGACGCCGCGUGCGGGAUGGAGGCCUUCGGGUUGUAAACCGCUUUUGUUCAAGGGCAAGGCACGGUCUUUGGCCGUGUUGAGUGGAUUGUUCGAAUAAGCACCGGCUAACUACGUGCCAGCAGCCGCGGUAAUACGUAGGGUGCAAGCGUUAUCCGGAUUUAUUGGGCGUAAAGGGUGCGCAGGCGGGCCUUUAAGCCGGCGGU
This 258-nucleotide ribosomal RNA is filed under the name uncultured bacterium. RNAcentral describes it as "partial 16S ribosomal RNA". It matches the Rfam family "Bacterial small subunit ribosomal RNA", at positions 338 to 595 of the family's 1533-position model. The record is from RNAcentral.